AAAGAAAAAUGUUCUUUCUAGGGUUUAAUAAAUGCUUCACAAUGAGUUUUUUUUUUUAAGUAGGCCUUAAUACCUAAUCACUUGCAUUCGGUGGCUAGAUUUGAGUGGAUAAGAACACCUACCAAAGUACAACUUCCAAUUUUUAUUUCAGAAGGAAACCAUCCUUGAGAGAUGAGAAAAUAACUUACUUUAAGCUUUAUUCAUUUUUGUAUUUGGCUGCCAUAAAAUAUCUUUUACUAAGUAGCUUUAGGGUUUUUUUUUUAAUCUAAUCCUGAUUAAAUUAAAAGAAAAACCUGGUAAGUUAAUUGUAAGCUUUCCCAUAAAAGAGAGAAGCACAAAAUGCCAUGGAAUAUAUCCAAGAAACAUAACAUAAACAUGAGACUUACAAUGCACAAUUUAAAAUUUCAUAUGUUGUCAAAUGAUAAAUGUCUGUUCCAGCUAUGAAUACUUUAACUUCAAAAAUCUUUCAUAGCCUUAAAAAAGAACUCUCACAGAAACAGAAGCUGGAAUGUUAUUUGUGAACUAGGCCUUGCACCUUGUCAAUAUUUUUAGUUCUUAAAUUUCUGGAAUGUUCUAAAGACAUAAAACAUCUACUUCAUUUUGAAAUUUUGAUUUUAACAUUUCACUAACAACACUGGGAAAGGAUCAUCUUAACUAAAGGUGUCAAGACUAACGUUUGAGCUUAGCCGUUGAACUUUCUCUUAGGGGAAACAGUUUAAUCCCCAAGUACUAUGAGAUAGGCGUUUUAAGGCAACUUUUUAAAAAGGAAAAUAAAUCUGCUUUUUGCCGUCUAGGAAAGAUACAUUUUUCCUUGUGGAAAUCUGCAGUCUGAAAAGACAGAUAUGAAAAGCAUGAACUGUUGAAAAUAACCUAAAUGUUCUUUGAAAAUUUAAAGGCCAGCUUAUCCUGCAAUGGUGAUAGAAUAGUCGGCUUACAACACGCAAAGCCGAGCCGCGGGUGGGCAGGCGCCGCCCGUGGCUCGCGGAGUGGAUGCACUCGAGGGCGCGGCCGCUGCGCUUGGGGAACUUUCAGGGCGCCAAGUACGGGUAGCGCUUCUGAUGGAUUCCCGGGUCUGGGAGGAUCCGAUUAUCCCGGGGCCGGGUGACACGCACAAAGCUGAGGUUAGAGUUGGCCAGGAAGGGAGGACCUGGUGAGCCGGUGGAACAAAAGCGGGAAGGCCUUUCCUUCUAGGAGCAAAACCAGCGACGCGUCCCGGACGCCCGGGGACCCCUGUGGGUCUCGGUUUCCUUCGCUGUGACCCUGACAUGUUUCCCUCCACCGGCCCGAGGAAACCGUCGCUUCCAGCCUCCAGGUACCGUCACCUCUGCGGGGCUGCGAGCGGAGGACCGGGACAGAGAAGGAGCCGGCGGUCCUGGCCAGCCGCGCGGCUCAAAACCCGACGGCGCGGGGACUCCGGGCCUGGGGCCUCCAUGGCUGUGGCCUCCUUAUCUCCCGGGCCGGCUGCUCCCUACGCUGCGGGGCUGAGGGCACUGGGGACCCAGGGGCUUCUCUGGCACUAGCGAGGACCUAACCUUGAGUGAAGAACGAUGUCAAGUGAAAGUGAAGAAUAACGGGGGUGGGCGCGAAGAGAAUGGUCUUGGGGCGCGCUUGCGCCUCUACCCGAGGACCGAGGUGGGGAUUCGACAGACGCCAGCGGUGGGGAUCCGGGGCGAGAAGCCCCGACUUUCUGAGUCGUGAGCCGCCUCCAGUCGCCCCAGGACGUAACCCCGAGGAGCUUUCAGACACUGGCCGCGCCUAAUAUCGCUGAGAACCGCGAAAACCGGAGUUCCGGCCGCCUCCCGGACUGGCGUCCCGAGGCCAGGGGACCCGCUUGGGGCUCCCGGCCGAGCCCCGACCUCGGACGUUUUUCCGGGAGCCGCGAGAGGCCUGGGGGCCUGGGCCAGGCGCCGCGGCGGGCAUCGAUCGCCGGCUCCCAGAGAGUGGCCCCGCGCAGGUGGAGGUGACCCCGUCACCUCCAGGAGCGCCCCCAAGCCCCGGUACCCGCAGCGUGCGCCCUCUCCUCCUCCCCGAAGGUGUUAUCUUAGGAGCCAAGCAUCUCCUUUGGUCCUGCGCUCCUUCGCCUAGCGCCUGGUGCCCCCCACCCGGCUGCAUCCGAGGCUUGCGCGGCCCGGUCCCAUCAGCCGAGCGUCGCCCGCCCAGGAGGAGGCUCGGGUUCUCCGCAGAAGCGAAUACUUUCUCUUUUUGUUUUAAGUUAGAACCUUGCUUUUGCAGUGAUUCGUUGCUGUGGCGUGAUUUUAAACAGGUGAGAAAUCGGAGUCUCAUUUUCCCAGGGGGGCUUCCAAUGAGGAUUUUAAGAGAAGCGUGCAAAGAAGACAGCAAUGUCCAUCUUUUUUUUUUCUUGUUUUCUUUUGAACAGAGGGAACCCCCACGCGCUGAGAUAGUUAUGUUUUUAAGGCUAAACUUUUUUAAAAUUAGUUUUUCUUUUACACUUAUGGCUGACUUUUGAUCCUUUUAAAGAAAGGAUGAAGUCAAAACAGAUUAAUGCUUUUGAAUACACAACGUCCCCACGUCCCCAAAUUGUGGUGCUGGGAUAGUUCCUCUAAGAUGCAUUCUGAUUUUGAAGUUCAAGGUCUCUAAGCGCUGUUAAGCGGAACCAUGAAAAAUACGUUGCUACAUUAAAGAUAAAACAGACGGUGAUACUGACUGCAGAAUCGUAGUAGAAACUUUUUUUUUUUUUUUGAGGCUGUGCAGGAUUUGCCUUGGUUUUAUUAGGGAACCUGCUAAUAGAAGCAAUUUCAAGUGACGGGCUUCCCUCAGUAAAAAGCUGGAAGCAAUGACAUCUUUUCUAUCUGAGUGACUCUCCUUAGUCGUGGUAAAUAAAUAAAUAAAUAAAUAAAUAGAUAGAUAGAUAGAUAAAUAAAUAAAUAAAUAAAAAUUAGUUUACAUGCAGUGUUUGAAAAGAAAAUGAUUUUGCUUCCCAAGUUUUUAUGUGUUUUCUUUUUUACCAACUAUAUUUCACUUUAUUUACAAUUGUCAGUUUAUUCUCACACCUUCUGGUUAGUUUUAUCUUCUCACCAUGGUCUGUUAGAACCCCAUCCUCGAGCAAAAAAACAAAAACAAAAACCACCCCCCCAAAACAAACAAACAAACAAACAAAACAGGUGUUCAUCCCUGUGAGAUGCUAAUGCCCCUGGAACUGUUUGAAAAGAGCAAAAUUUUGUAAGGAGAUUCUUUUCAAAAAGUGUUAGAGAAGUAUUCUUCAAAAACAUCUUAGAAUGUUUCCUUAAAAAAUUUCCUUUCUUGGUUUUCAUUAAUUGCCUUUGAUUAAAAUUAGGUUACAAACAUAUCUUAAUUUCAGACUGUUUCUUUAUAAAAGAAAGGAGAAAGUAAAUAGGUGUUGGCAAGGACUAAACCAAUGCAACUAGGCCCUGUUGAGAGCCUAAAUCUGUAAACUGGUACCCUUAAAAAACAUCAAUCAACUUGAGGUUCGUACAGGUAGUUCUUUGACUCAAACAGUUGAUUUUUAAAAGUCUUAUAAAAUAGGUUAAAAUGUGUUUUUAGUCCAGGUUCCUACUUCUUUGUUAUGCAUUUCUCCUCGUAGAUAAAUAAAUGAAUCUAACUUGAUGAGUAGGUAGAUUUUUCUCCAGAAGAACUUUCUAAAAAUGGGCAAAGUUAGGGAAGUGAUUAAUACCCUUCAGUUUAAUUGGAAUUAUUCAGUGCUUAUACCAAGUUAAUCCUAUUAAGAUGCUAUUUCCUGCUCAGGGGGAUAAAUUAAGCACAACUUAGAUUAUUUUAGGUGGACAACUGGUAUAUAGUCUAAGCAAUGGGGGCUGGAAAAAAGUAUCUCUUCUCCAAAAAAUAUAGAUUAUGUACCAGUAAUGUUCAAAGUACUUUGAGGAAGUGUAUUGAUGGGAUGAAUAUAAAUCAUAGUGACUGUUGUUAAGGGGUUUACGGAUUAUAAAGAGCAAUUGAGCUUCCUUUAUUUUCUCUUAUUUAGAAAACAAACAUUCAUAAGAAAAAAAUAAAAUUAGAUCCCUUCUUUUGCCCACAUACAAAUUCAGUUUCAGAUCAAUUAAAAAGUUAAAUAAGAAAAAUAGAAUUAAAAAAAUAUUGGAAGGCUGGGCGCAGUGGCUCACGCCUGUAAUCCCAGCACUUUGGGAGGCCAAGGCGGGCAGAUCACGAGGUCAGGAGAUUGAGACCAUCUUGGCCAACAUGGGGAAACCCUAUCUCUAGUAAAAAUACAAAAAUUAGCUGGUUGUGGUGGCACAUGCCUGUAAUCCCAGCUACUCGGGAGGCUGAGGCAGGAGAAUCGCUUGAACCUGGGAGGCAGCGAUUGCAGUGAGCCGAGAUCGCGCCACUGCACUCUAGCCUGGCAGCAGAGUUAUCUCUGUAACUCUCCAUCUCAAAAAAAAACAAAAAAAAUUGAAAGGAAAUAUAGAAUUUGUAGUAUGAAAGGAUUUCUUAAACAAAACAUUAAAAUACACAAUCCAUUAAGGAAAUGAUCAAUUGGAUGACAGUCAUGCUCCAAAUAAUGAUAUGUUAGUCAAUACAUGAUAAUAGUCCCAUAAGGUUAUAAUAUUGUAUAUUUACUGUACCUUUUCUAUGUGUAGAUGUGUCUAAUUAUACAAAUACCAUUGUGUUACAAUUGCCUACAGUAUUCAAUACAGUCACAUGCUGUACAGGUUUGCAGCCUAGGAGCAAUAGGCUUGUACCAUAUACAAACCAUCUAGGUUUGUGUAAUUACACUCUAUGAUGUUAGCAUGACAAAACUGCCUAUGGACCUAUUUCUCAGAAUAUGUCCCUGUAGUUGAGUGCCAUGUGACUGUAUAUAAAAAUUUUUAAAAAUACUUUUUACAUGACAAAAGAUAUCAUAAAAUGUUACAAGAUAAACUGAGAAGAUAUUUUCAAGGCAUGUACUUGGUGAAGGAUUCAUAUUCAAAAUGUAUAAAUAACUUAUAUAGAAAGAAUUUACUAAUUUAUGUAUAAUGAAUUUCAUAAAUAAAAGAUGUGGGCCAGGAUAUAUACAUAUGAAGUGAAAGUAUAGUACUAUCAAUAGGAUGAAUACAUAUCAACUUCAAAAAAUGUAAUUUCCUUUGGGAUAGAAAGAAAGAAGGAAGGAGGGGGAAUAGGAAGAGGGCAACAACUUCCUGCCCAGGGGGCAACAACUCUUUUUUUUUUUUUUUUUGAGACAGAGUCUUGCUUUUGUCCCCCAGGCUUGAGUACAAUGACUCGAUCUCGGCUCACUGCAACCUCCGCCUCUCGGGUUCAAAUGAUUCUCCUGCCUCUGCCUCCCAAGUAGCCAGUUAAGGCACCUGCCACCAUGCCCGUCUAAUUUUUGUGUUUUUUAGUAGAGACGGAGUUUCACCAUUUUGGCCAGGCUGGUCUCGAACUCCUGACCUCAGUUGAUCCGCCCACCUCAGCCUCCCAAAGUGCUGGGAUUACAGGCAUGAGCCACUGCGCCCAGCCCACAGCAAUUCUUUAUAAAAAGAUCAGAGGCAACUAUGGGAAGACAUUAACACUUUUUGUUCUUUGUAGAUUGUUAAAAGCUUGUUAUAAUUUAUUUAAAAAUCUCUAACAUCAAUUCCUAGUCUAAAGAAUGAACAAAUGACACAUUUCUUUUCCUUAGUCAAUAAUAAUCUUGUAAGAUGGUGUUCACGUGCUUUUCUUUGAGGGCAAAGAAAACACCAUUCCCCAGUGUUUUUCCUGGGCAGUGUUUGAAUAUUAUAUGAUACUCACAGCAGAGAUUUUCCUAGUUUGGCUUCUGUUGUAAGCUUGUUUUCUGAGUAGAUUUAAAUGAGAAGAACAGAAACAUAUUUGAAACUAUGACUAUGUAUAAGAGCAUUUAUUCUCCUAUAAUGAAAUCGUGGAAAAUGUUUUUAAAAAGUGAGCAAACAAAAACCUCCACACCAUUAUAGAAACACGGUUAAAAAACUAUUGAAUAAUCUCAAGCCUAGUGUGUAAUAAUUAUUAAGUGUGUCUAAUUUGUUGUGCUAAGUGUCAGGAAUUGGUAUUGUGGAAGGAUAUGUGAGAUCUCAUUUUCUCCUUUUAUAUGGCAGGAGUUUAUACAGUAUUUACAUCUGUCAUUGAUACUUUUUAUGAACAGAAGUUUUGUUUACUUAUAACUUCCACAGGGAUUAUUCAUAUGGAGCACUGGAAAGAUGUAACAUUUCAUUUGCUUUGAUACCUUGUGUUUAUUUUAGGUCGAAAAGCAUCAUGAAGCCAAGUGGUUAUUGUUUUGCUUAUUCAGUGUGAACUGAGUGAGCCAGGUUUGUAUACCAAGUGAUUCUCGUGGUGGACAAUACCAAUAUGAUUAUGCCAAAUGCAUUGCUUCUGAGGCAUCACUCUUUGGGCACAUAUAGACCCUGCUGAUUUCUGCCAAAGCACUCUUCUUAAAGUUCCAAAACAUUACCCCAAAACCUCUAUAGCCCCCUAUUGCCAACAAAAUUAAAGCCUUUCUCUUCAUUGGCAUUAGAAGCCCCUGUAACCCAUUGCUUUUCCAUUUCCAGCCUCUUUCCAAAAUUACCAAACAAACUCUGUAUCCUGCAGCCACCAAACUGUACUAGUUGUAAUAUAUUCACUAAGAACA
Molecule: long non-coding RNA, 6547 nt
Filed under: Homo sapiens (human)
Lineage: Eukaryota; Metazoa; Chordata; Mammalia; Primates; Hominidae
Description: HSALNT0356815
Source: RNAcentral